Daphnia pulex (common water flea) is the source of this 2007-nucleotide long non-coding RNA. RefSeq lists it as uncharacterized. The transcript has 3 exons. Lineage: Eukaryota; Metazoa; Arthropoda; Branchiopoda; Diplostraca; Daphniidae. The record is from RefSeq and is a predicted model, not a curated record.
AGCCAUAUUCAUCAAUCACUGUCAUAGGGAAUUGUAAAAUUAUUUGCAUUUCUAGUCUUUAUAGCUGUAAUUGAUGAUAGCUAAUUACGAUGCAUCCGUUAUACGCGAUGGCUCUGCAACAAAAACAUGAAAUCACUUGCCCUCACUGAAUCUAAACUUACUAGAUCAUGUACCCAUUAUUGUUGAUUUUCCUUAAUUAUUCUUUUAUUUUAGGUUUGAUGUCUUUUGGACGACUGAAUCUCACAUAUCCCUUUCCUCGAAUGAUGGAUGUGUACACAUUUUUAAUGGUCGUCGAUCAUUGGGUGCGAGACCUCCCCCCUAUCUCUCUCACACGGCACUUGUGAUUAUCUCUGCAACUCUUGGACUCUGAAAGAAGAAGAAGAAGUAAGGGAAAUCAUGUACAAAUGAAAAGUCUCUUUUAUUCCCAGCGCAUACGUCUAAUAGGUAUGUUUUGAUUUUAUUCUAUUAAGUUUAAUCUGUUGUAUAUCAAACCCAACUGAGUCUUAUACCCAAGGAUAUUCGUACAUCACCGACCCGAACUUGUGUCUCGUAUACGAGUCUAUUGAAGCCAUUAAUGGUGCUCUGUCCGGUCUGUCCCUGACAUCUUUUAUGAUCUAUGCCACCCAACUGGGGACGACGUCCACUGCGACUUCCAUUCAAGGAUUGAUUUCAGCGACCUACUUCGGACUAGGGGCUGGAAUCGGAAGCUCGGUCGGCCGAGUCCUGAUCGGAGCGUUCGGCAAGCGAGUGGUUUUCCGCAUUUUGGGAGUCAUCGCUUUCCUCACUGGAUUCCUCUACUUCCUCUUUAAUAUUUUUUACUUGCGUCCAAAGGCCAAUGAAAAAAUAACACUACCGUUGACAAGACUGAUUCAAGUGUAAACGUGAAGGUCGAAGAAAUUCAGUGACAUUCAACGUCCGUUAGUCUUUUUAUAGCAAACAGCAUCUAAGCAAACUUCUCUCCUAUAAGCCAUUAAAUUGGUCGUUAAUUGACUAACUUUUUGACUAAACAUUUUUUUAGCUCAUUUACAGAUUGAAGCCUAUGAAAUAUUUAGAAUUUUAAAGACUAAAAGAAUUUCAGUUAUUGUCAUAAUAAUUUAAUAAAUCAAUAUAUAAGAAGUGUCAGUAUAUUUAUUUUUUGUUUACCCUUUUGACCAAGUGGGUAACAUCGCGUCGCUUCCAUCUUCUAGAAUCCAGUAGUUUUCGGGACUUCCCUGAAUCGGACCAAUCUUCAAUUAGGACAAAAAAUGGGUUACAAAAGCUAUCGGCAGCAGCAGAGCACCCAGACACGUUUGAAUCCAAUUUCCAUUCCUGCAUUGGUUUAAUUUAGUUUAAAAAAGUAGAUUUUACGAAUUUUAAAUUAAUGAGAAUCCGAGCUUAAAACUUGAUUUCUUGAAAAUUCACACCGUUUCGAAUCGUCGGUUAAGAAUUUAAUCUAUGGUAUGCGCUUGGGCUUGGCACAUACGACCAACACGAGUUGGCUCCAUUAGGAUAAGCCUUUUUGUUAUUUAAGAUUUUUAUUCAGUUACCACUUUAUUUUAGACAACAAUGAUCGACACCCUUGCAUUGCCACAAAUGGAGACGGCCGCCGCUGUCUUAGUUCAAGUUCAUUUCAUAGACGGUUUAUGAGCUUACGAAUUUUUUGUAAAAGCGAGUCAAUUGAAAAGUGCCUCGAAGAACAAAUGUGGGAGGGUAAGCAAAAGUCAUUGCGUGCCGACAAUCGAUUUAUAGUGAAUGCGUUUUUAAAGAGCGCGCUUAAUGAUCUCGCAAUGGCAACAGUUCGCUGAUUAGAAUAGAAUGCGUCAUUCCCAAAGUCAAUCGUCAUGACCUAUGAAUAAUCGAACAAUAGGAAAAUGGAAAGGAAGAAAAUAUAAUGUGCUAUAUGGACUUUGGCAAUUCCAUUAUGACUUUUCGGUUGAAUGAAAUUGUACGAGAAUAAGGAAGUAUACGUCAGCAGCGUUGUUCCUAUUAGCUACCGCAUUUAUGUAAAGAAACGAAAAAAUUAAAAUU